GGGUGAUGGUGAAGGAAUAAGUUCUUCUGUCUCUUGAGGAAUGGGUCUUCCUCAAAGGUUUUGCUUUCUUAGAUGGAAUGUCGGUGCGCAUUACUGUGUGUGCAAUUUUAGUGUUUCGUAUUGAUUUCUGGGAGAUUCCCUCUGGUUGGUUUUCUAUUAUUUGGAGGCUGUUUCUGGUUUUGGGCCUCUCUAUUCUAACAGUAUGGGGACUUUUUGAAUAUAGAGGAAGACUAAGGCAUUUAUCCUCAGGCAAUUGUCUAAUCUUUUCGAAGAAUAUUGAAUUCUCUCACUACUAGGCUAGUAAAUUUUAAAAACCCGACUUCCAAUGUGUUCUACUGGAGAGACAUAAUAUGUCUAAACUACUUCUAGGUUAUUAUUAAGCCCCUGUAGAUCCAAGUUUUUCAGUACAAAAAACCAUGCAUGAUUAAUAUACUUAGAGUCACAGAUUACACUGAAAUUAUAGCAGAUAUGAUAUCUUUAAUGUUGCUAAUAGUUUUUUGAUUUACUUCUCUUGUUACUCUUUAGCUAUAGAUUUUGAGACUGUUGGGAGUUUGAAGCCAUAACGCUCAGUAAAUAAUAUAACCAGAAGCAAAACAUUAUUCUAUAAACACAAUGAAACCUUCUCUUUUACCUAGUGGAUCAACUGCAAGAAUUGGUCCUAUUUCAACAGGAGGGCCACAGCCAAACUUGUUCUUGGCAAUAACACGGAACUUAUAUUCUUGUCCCUCAAGCAGACCUGUGAUGUCACAUUUAGAUCUCUCAGUCUCUAUUGGUUGUCUCCAAGUAUGCAUCUUGGCAUCUUUUCUUUCAAUGAUGAAGCCUGUUAUUUCACUUCCUCCAUCAUCUUCUGGAUCAGACCAGUUAAGUAGACACAUUUUUCUGUUUGUUACAACAGGUUUUAAAUCAAGAACUGGACCAGGGACAUCUGAAAACAAAACAAAGCCAAAAACCAAUGUAAUAAGAUAGUAACAUUUGGGAAAAUCCUAUGAAAAUCAAUGUAACAUUCCUUACCAAAAACUUCUACCCUGGCUGCUGCAAAUUUGGAACCACAGCUAUUUGUAGCUGUAAUCACAUAUCUGCCAUGGUCUUUUCGCAGUGCAUCCUUGAUAAUUAGUUCAGAUUUGGUUCCAACAUUGUCUAUUACAACGCGGUCUUUAUCCAGCUCCCCUUCUUCUUUGGUCCAUACUUUUGUAGGUACAGGACGACCCGUUACCACAGCUGGAAUUCUAAGAGUCUUCCCAGCCAUUAUUUGUAUUCCACCCUUGACAGAAACAUCCAGUUCCACAGUUGGAGGCUCUGUUGAAAGAGAACAGUCAUACAUUAGCCCAUGAAAGAUUAAAAAAUAGUCCUGUAUAGAGAAAAUAUCCAUAAUUUUAUUCCAAUAAUGUUAAGUACCUUGUGGUUCAGCCACAGUAACAGGUUCUGUUUCUCCAGGCGGUCCUUCCCCUGCGACAUUGACGGCACUCACCCGAAGUUUAUAAUCAGCACCCUCUCGGAUUUCUUUGACUGUGUACUGACGGACCUUGAUCAUCUUCUCUGUGCAGCGUGACCAUUCAUUUGUGCCAACCAACUGCUUAUCAACAAAAUAGCCA
Molecule: long non-coding RNA, 1592 nt
Organism: Macaca fascicularis (crab-eating macaque)
Lineage: Eukaryota; Metazoa; Chordata; Mammalia; Primates; Cercopithecidae
Source: Ensembl